UACGUAGGUGGCGAGCGUUAUCCGGAUUUAUUGGGUUUAAAGGGUGCGUAGGCGGCCUGUUAAGUCGGUGGUUAAAGGUAGCAGCUUAACUGUUUUACAUGCCAUCGAUACUGACAGGCUUGAGUGAUGAGAAGGCGGGCGGAAUUUCUGGUGUAGCGGUGAAAUGCAUAGAUACCAGAAGGAACCCCAAUUGCGAAGGCAGCUCGCUGCAAAUCAACUGACGCUGAUGCACGAAAGCGUGGGGAUCAAACAGG
Molecule: ribosomal RNA, 254 nt
Filed under: uncultured bacterium
Lineage: Bacteria
Description: partial 16S ribosomal RNA
Rfam family: Bacterial small subunit ribosomal RNA
Source: RNAcentral